ACGGCUACAUCCCGUUGAAACACUGGUAACCGAGCGAUCACCUAAGUUAAGCAACGUUGAGCCUGGUCAGUACCUAGAUGGGUAACCGCUUGGGAAUACUAAGAGAUGUAAG
Acanthosepion pharaonis is the source of this 112-nucleotide non-coding RNA. NCBI's taxonomy places the organism in Eukaryota, Metazoa, Mollusca, Cephalopoda, Sepiida, Sepiidae. The record is from the annotation of a GenBank genome assembly.